GAUGAACGCUGGUGGCGUGCCUAAUCCAUGCAAGUCGAACGGAGGGUGUAGCAAUAUGCCCUUAGUGGCGAACGGGUGAGUAACGCGUUGGUGACCUGCCCCGAAGUGUGGGACAACAGUUCGAAAGGACUGCUAAUACCGCAUAUGAUCUUUGAGAUUAGAAGCUUGAAGAUUAAAGGACUUCGGUCCGCUACGGGAGGGGCCUGCGUCCCAUCAGCUAGUUGGUAGGGUAAUGGCUUACCAAGGCGAUGACGGGUAGGGGACCUGAGAGGGUGAACCCCCACAAUGGAACUGAAACACGGUCCAUACACCUACGGGUGGCUG
This 324-nucleotide ribosomal RNA is filed under the name uncultured Chloroflexota bacterium. Its description in RNAcentral is "bacterial SSU rRNA". It matches the Rfam family "Bacterial small subunit ribosomal RNA", at positions 28 to 351 of the family's 1533-position model. Lineage: Bacteria; Bacillati; Chloroflexota. The record is from RNAcentral.